CAAGUCUGAGCGGACAGUACGUGAGAGCUCGGCUCCCGUGAUGUUAGCAGGCGGACGGGUGAGUAACACGUGGGUAACCUGCCUGUAAGACUGGGAUAACUCCGGGAAACCGGGGCUAAUACCGGAUGCUUGAUUGAACCGCAUGGUUCAAUUAUAAAAGGUGGCUUUUAGCUACCACUUACAGAUGGACCCGCGGCGCAUUAGCUAGUUGGUGAGGUAACGGCUCACCAAGGCGACGAUGCGUAGCCGACCUGAGAGGGUGAUCGGCCACACUGGGACUGAGACACGGCCCAGACUCCUACGGGAGGCAGCAGUAGGGAAUCUUCCGCAAUGGACGAAAGUCUGACGGAGCAACGCCGCGUGAGUGAUGAAGGUUUUCGGAUCGUAAAACUCUGUUGUUAGGGAAGAACAAGUACCGUUCGAAUAGGGCGGUACCUUGACGGUACCUAACCAGAAAGCCACGGCUAACUACGUGCCAGCAGCCGCGGUAAUACGUAGGUGGCAAGCGUUGUCCGGAAUUAUUGGGCGUAAAGCGCGCGCAGGCGGUUUCUUAAGUCUGAUGUGAAAGCCCCCGGCUCAACCGGGGAGGGUCAUUGGAAACUGGGGAACUUGAGUGCAGAAGAGGAGAGUGGAAUUCCACGUGUAGCGGUGAAAUGCGUAGAGAUGUGGAGGAACACCAGUGGCGAAGGCGACUCUCUGGUCUGUAACUGACGCUGAGGCGCGAAAGCGUGCGGAGCGAACACGAUUACAUACGCUGGUACUCCACGCCGUAAACGAUGACUGCUAACUGUUAGAAGGUCUCCGCCCCUUAUUGGUGCAGCAGACGCAUUAUUCACUCCGCCUG
RNAcentral lists this ribosomal RNA (844 nucleotides) under Bacillus licheniformis. RNAcentral describes it as "bacterial SSU rRNA". It matches the Rfam family "Bacterial small subunit ribosomal RNA", at positions 58 to 875 of the family's 1533-position model. The record is from RNAcentral. Lineage: Bacteria; Bacillati; Bacillota; Bacilli; Caryophanales; Bacillaceae.